RNAcentral lists this ribosomal RNA (847 nucleotides) under uncultured Bacillus sp. RNAcentral describes it as "bacterial SSU rRNA". It matches the Rfam family "Bacterial small subunit ribosomal RNA", at positions 58 to 887 of the family's 1533-position model. Lineage: Bacteria; Bacillati; Bacillota; Bacilli; Caryophanales; Bacillaceae. The record is from RNAcentral.
CAAGUCGAGCGAAUCGAUGGGAGCUUGCUCCCUGAGAUUAGCGGCGGACGGGUGAGUAACACGUGGGUAACCUGCCUGUAAGAUUGGGAUAACUCCGGGAAACCGGAGCUAAUACCGGAUAACAUUUUGAACCGCAUGGUUCAAAAUUGAAAGAUGGUCUCGGCUAUCACUUACAGAUGGACCCGCGGCGCAUUAGCUAGUUGGUGAGGUAACGGCUCACCAAGGCAACGAUGCGUAGCCGACCUGAGAGGGUGAUCGGCCACACUGGGACUGAGACACGGCCCAGACUCCUACGGGAGGCAGCAGUAGGGAAUCUUCCGCAAUGGACGAAAGUCUGACGGAGCAACGCCGCGUGAACGAUGAAGGCCUUCGGGUCGUAAAGUUCUGUUGUUAGGGAAGAACAAGUACCAGAGUAACUGCUGGUACCUUGACGGUACCUAACCAGAAAGCCACGGCUAACUACGUGCCAGCAGCCGCGGUAAUACGUAGGUGGCAAGCGUUGUCCGGAAUUAUUGGGCGUAAAGCGCGCGCAGGUGGUUUCUUAAGUCUGAUGUGAAAGCCCACGGCUCAACCGUGGAGGGUCAUUGGAAACUGGGGAACUUGAGUGCAGAAGAGGAAAGUGGAAUUCCAAGUGUAGCGGUGAAAUGCGUAGAGAUUUGGAGGAACACCAGUGGCGAAGGCGACUUUCUGGUCUGUAACUGACACUGAGGCGCGAAAGCGUGGGGAGCGAACAGGAUUAGAUACCCUGGUAGUCCACGCCGUAAACGAUGAGUGCUAAGUGUUAGAGGGUUUCCGCCCUUUAGUGCUGCAGCUAACGCAUUAAGCACUCCGCCUGGGGAGUACGGUC